GAUGAACGCUGGCGGCGUGCCUAAUACAUGCCAGUCGAGCGAACGGACGAGAAGCUUGCUUCUCUGAUGUUAGCGGCGGACGGGUGAGUAACACGUGGAUAACCUACCUAUAAGACUGGGAUAACUUCGGGAAACCGGAGCUAAUACCGGAUGAUAUUUUGAACCGCAUGGUUCAAAAGUGAAAGACGGUCUUGCUGUCACUUAUAGAUGGAUCCGCGCUGCAUUAGCUAGUUGGUAAGGUAACGGCUUACCAAGGCAACGAUGCAUAGCCGACCUGAGAGGGUGAUCGGCCACACUGGAACUGAGGCACGGUCCAGACUCCUACGGGAGGCAGCAGUAGGGAAUCUUCCGCAAUGGGCGAAAGCCUGACGGAGCAACGCCGCGUGAGUGAUGAAGGUCUUCGGAUCGUAAAACCCUGUUAUUAGGGAAGAACAUAUGUGUAAGUAACUGUGCACAUCCUGACGGUACCUAAUCAGAAAGCCACGGCUAACUACGUG
Molecule: ribosomal RNA, 497 nt
Filed under: uncultured bacterium
Lineage: Bacteria
Description: partial 16S ribosomal RNA
Rfam family: Bacterial small subunit ribosomal RNA
Source: RNAcentral